This 253-nucleotide ribosomal RNA is filed under the name uncultured prokaryote. RNAcentral describes it as "partial 16S ribosomal RNA". It matches the Rfam family "Bacterial small subunit ribosomal RNA", at positions 525 to 777 of the family's 1533-position model. The record is from RNAcentral.
ACGAACUGUGCGAACGUUAUUCGGAAUCACUGGGCUUACAGGGUGCGUAGGCGGCUUGUUAAGUAGGGUGUGAAAGCCCCCGGCUCAACCGGGGAAUUGCGCCCUAAACUGGCGAGCUGGAGUGAGAUAGGGGUGUGUGGAACUUCCGGUGGAGCGGUGAAAUGUGUUGAUAUCGGAAGGAACGCCGGUGGCGAAAGCGACACACUGGAUCUUGUCUGACGCUGAGGCACGAAAGCCAGGGGAGCGAACGGGA